This is a non-coding RNA of Chlorocebus sabaeus (green monkey), 2615 nucleotides long. Lineage: Eukaryota; Metazoa; Chordata; Mammalia; Primates; Cercopithecidae. The record is from RefSeq and is a predicted model, not a curated record.
UGGUGACUGAGGAUUCAAAUUUAAAAAAAAAAAAAAAUGAAAGAAAAAACUUUUAAUUCCAAAGCAUGAACCCCUCACUGAAGCCACUGAACACUGUCAUCCACACCAAAACUUCAAAAGUUAACACUGGCUCGCACAGUUUGUCCCAUCCUUGAGCGGCAGAGCGACUCACCGUUUGCAGCCAGGCCUGGACGGCACCGCUGCUCCUAAGUCCCUCAGCCUUCAGGUCUCAGUCUACCCAGCCAGAGACGACCGCUGUGUGUCCUCCGUCAGACAGCAAAGCCACGACUUUGUGCCCACCUACAGAACCUCAGUUAAUCUUGGGAAUCUGAAAUCAUUCAUUUUAUUUAGCAAAGUGUUUUCAGUUCCUUCAGGAUUGUGCUUGUCUAAACCAUCUGCUCUGAGUGAGUUGUAAGGACUCAGGUAUGAAGCACCUUAAAUAUCCCAGGCUCAGGGGGUUUUGAACAGGCCCUGCAGGCUGGCAGAGGCCCUCUCCUCCUCCCCAGACAGCAGCGCCGUGGACCUCGCUGAGCUGGUGACCCAUCGUCAUUCCCAGCUCUUCUCCGGGAAACCCCUUCUGUAAGAAACAACUUUCUCACUUCCCCAGCACCUAAGUGCCAUCAUUCUGUCUGAUGAGAUGAAAGUGGAAAUAUCUCCAUCUUCUGGGGAAAGCUUUCAUUUUCUUGGUAAAACGAAAAACGCUGCUGCUGCGACUUCUGUGUCCCCGGCUUCAACCUUGAACUGGGGCCCGGUGCCUGAAGAUACAGGGGAGGGCUCAGACCGUGAGCAACUCCAGCUCACUGCAGUGGGUGGAAUAGAACAUUAUCCGGCCUCUGCACCAGUCCCGGACUGCUCACCCUGACUUCUACAAGAAAAAGAAAUCCCUUUUUGGAAACCUCAUUCUGUGGUGUGAACAGGGGGAUUCCCAUCUUCCGGAAACGACUUAGUCUUGAGCUGCCUGUGCCCUUCCCAUCGCAGUGAAUGUUGCCAGUUGGGGAUGACUGGGCAGCCACGGGGAAGGUGAGCAGAGGGCAGAGGAGUCCAAGCCCCUGAGGCAAGAAUUCAAUUCUGGGUCCUGAGCAGGGGUUGUCCUGGUCAACAAGCAACUUCAGUUCCUUGGGACAGGACCCCAGACUUGCUGGUAUGACGUCAUUGUUUCUUUACUGGCAUGGGAGCCGUCAGCCUACGAACUGCAGAGAACUCCGGGAAGGAGCCCUUUUCUUCCUGCAAUGAGGACAACCAGAAGCUGUGGCCACGGCACCUGCGGUCCCCGGAGCCUGGGCACUGACGUGAGGGAGGAAGGCGGCAGCUCCCUUUCCCCCUGCCCUGGCCACAGGAACCUCAGGAUUGAGAGCUCAUCUGCAGCUCUCAGGUGUGGUCAAGAAGUAGUGGACUGAACUAAGCAGCAUAGUGGUCAGCAUCACCUGGGACUCCGCCUAGAAUGCUGGAAAUGGGCAUUCUUGCCCCCCACGCCCACGAGACUUACUGAGUUAGAAACUUGGGGUAAGGGCUGGCAAUCGGUGUGCCCAACCCUCCAGGUGGGUGGUUCCGAUAUCUAUUCAGGCUUGAGAACCUUUGUGCUCAGGACGUCCGGUUACCAAAUCAUGCCACUUACGGUGACCAUUCUCAAAUGAUGACCGAAGGAAGAAAGAUGAGGAAGACUUGAGCCUGGCCGGGCAAUCCUUGGUUUCCUCACGAACCCUUGAGAUCGGGUUAGAUUUUGAACACCACUGGGACGUGCUAAGAGCUUCUUUGGAGCAGAGCAGUGCUCACAUCAAUAGUCCAGCAGACUGAGCACGGAGAUGUCAGCAGACACACUUGAAAGUUUGGUCUGAAAACCAGAGGGACCGUGCCCACAAUCCCCGCCGUUUCCCUGAGCAGCAUGGCUGUGGAGAGUUUGUUGUUCAACCCCGGAUGGCUCAGCAAAUCCAACGCCCUCUGCCUUGUACUAUCGCCGCAUGGAUCUGCAGAGGCAGCCGUUCCUGCCCGGUGGCUUCGCCUUCUGCGAAGGACAACACAGAACCACUCUUUGAAUUAUUUGACAUUGACAUCAAACAUAAUUGGCUGACUCUGGUUGGUGGUGAGAGAACAAAUGUUUCCAGGGAUUAUUAAACAACCACAAAAAUCUGAGAGCGCGGUUAUCUGAACAUGGAACAGAAACAAGACAGUAACGAGUUCCAAUGUUCUUUUAUUUUUCUACACAGGAUUCAAACGAACUCAGAGCAGCAAGAUCAGAAUACAUCAGUCUGACCUGUUUUUACUCACAACACUUCUGACACCAAGUGCGUGGGUUUUUUUCACACCGACAACCAGUUCCCCAACUCUCCAGACACCAACUGGGUGGCCUACGAUUCCAUUCAAAUGUGACACUAACUCCACAGGCUCCGAGGCUCGGUCCCUCAGGACUGCCCUGAGUUCAGACACCAGCCUCCUGGCUCCAGCCCAGAGUACCCAUAUUUCUGUCCAACUUGGCUACAAAGUAGGGGGUUUCCUACACUCACCCCUCCAUCCCCCCAGUUUCACAUUCAGUAACUUGCUAGAACAGCUCACAGAACUCAGGAAGGCACUUUACUGGUACUGGUUCAUUAUUAAUAUAAAGCACUGGACUCAGAACA